Molecule: ribosomal RNA, 400 nt
Filed under: uncultured bacterium
Lineage: Bacteria
Description: bacterial SSU rRNA
Rfam family: Bacterial small subunit ribosomal RNA
Source: RNAcentral
UUAGGAAUAUUCGUCAAUGGGGGAAACCCUGAACGAGCGACGCCGCUUGAAGGAGGAAGCCCUUCGGGGUGUAAACUUCUGAACAGGGGACGAUAAUGACGGUACCCUGCUAAUAGCACCGGCUAACUCCGUGCCAGCAGCCGCGGUAAUACGGAGGGUGCGAGCGUUACCCGGAUUUACUGGGCGUAAAGGGCGUGUAGGCGGUUAUGUAAGUCCGAUGUGAAAGACCGAAGCUCAACUUCGGGGACGCGUUGGAUACUGCAAGACUAGACGGCUGGAGGGGGUAGCGGAAUUUCCGGAGUAGCGGUGAAAUGCGCAGAUACCGGAAGGAACGCCAAUAGCGAAGGCAGCUACCUGGACAGCACGUGACGCUGAGGCGCGAAAGCGUGGGGAGCAAACC